AGCCUUUAGCCCAACAAGUAUUAAAGGUAAUGCCUGCCCAGUGAUUUUUUUCAACGGCCGCGGGAUCCUAUACCGUGCAAAGGUAGCAUAAUCACUUGUCAUCUAAAUAAUGACUAGUAUGAACGGCCCCAUGAGGAUUUUCCUGUCUCUUAUAACCAAUCAAUGAAACUGAUCUUUCAGUCCAAAAGCUGAAAUAACCCCACAAGACGAAAAGACCCUGUGGAACUUCUAAGUGCUAAGCAAUUAAUGAUUAAUCACUUUUAGUUGGGGCAACUUUGGAACAAAACAAAACUUCCAAUAUGGGGGUACUAAAUUACUUAAAUCUAGGCCCACCUGCCAAUCUUUAAACCCCUAUUUGAUCCAGCACCGCUGAUAAAAGAAACAAGCUACCCCAGGGAUAACAGCGCCAUCCCCUCCUAGAGUCCCAAUCGACGAGCGGGGCUUACGACCUCGAUGUUGGAUCAGGGCCCCCAAACAGUGCAGCAGCUGUUAAAGGUUUGUUUGUUCAACAAUUAAUGCCCU
RNAcentral lists this ribosomal RNA (522 nucleotides) under Holcosus festivus. RNAcentral describes it as "partial 16S ribosomal RNA". It matches the Rfam family "Bacterial large subunit ribosomal RNA", at positions 1817 to 2597 of the family's 2925-position model. Lineage: Eukaryota; Metazoa; Chordata; Lepidosauria; Squamata; Teiidae. The record is from RNAcentral.